This 2016-nucleotide long non-coding RNA is filed under the name Arabidopsis thaliana (thale cress). RNAcentral describes it as "long non-coding RNA (ATHA_LNC000488)". The record is from RNAcentral. Lineage: Eukaryota; Viridiplantae; Streptophyta; Magnoliopsida; Brassicales; Brassicaceae.
AAACCGGCUCCACCUAAACCAGCUCCAGCUCCAGCUAAACCGGCUGAAAUUGUUGCCUGGCCGGUUCAGAUGAACAACCCUUACCAAUACAAUCCUGCCUAUGCAAAUUCUUACUAUCAACCAUAUGGGAACUCUAGAUUUGUAACGGACGAAUCAAAUUGUGUGAUUAUGUGAUAACUUAUUUCAAAUAAUGUGUUAAGUUAGUUUUGAUGGAAGAGUGUAAUUUUUUAGCUACUGUAAUAUACAUUUCUCAUAUGAGCUUAUUCAGAAAAAUUUAUGUUACUGUAUGAUAAAUUUGAUCUUUAUACGUUUUGUUAACUUUAACUUUUAAUCAUUUAGUAAUAGUUGAUCUUUUUCCUAUACAGAAUAUUAUUCUCUAUACUUUGUCUUUUGCUUAUAUACUAAUCAAAUGGAUACAAAAAUAUCACACACACACACACAUAGUUAAGUCGCUCUCAACUUAUUUAUGAAUAUCAAGUACCAAGAUCGUUCACGUAAUACAUUCAAUUGUCCAAAACUAAAAUAAUUUUGAAACAAUUAGAGAAUGAGAUAUUAGUAAAGAUGUGAUGUAGAGAGUCAAGAUCUGAAAGUCUCCUUUAGCAAAACAAAUACUAAUCAAUAAAAUUCCUACUUGGAGGGAUCCACAUGUAAACUGAGGCUUUCGAGGACAUUUCCUUUCUUGACUAUGAAAUAGCAGUAUUAUCCGAGUCUUCUUACCAUUUUUCAAAUAUAAAUCGCACAUUUACAGAUUAAAAAAAAAAAAAUUGGAUUCAUGCAUUGAGUUGAUUUUGAAAUCUAACAAAACUCUUGUGUUACUUUUAAGUCAUGACUUCUAAAAUUUUAGUUUAAAUCAUGUGUUAUUAAAGUAAUCGUUUAAAAUACAAAUUAAAAUUUGUGUUAAUCUAUUAGUAUUUUAAAAUUACAAAUUAAGAAUUAUGUUUUUUUUGUCUGCGAAUUUUGUUUUCGUUGCGCAACCAAAGAAUUGUGGGUAAGAAAUGUGUAAUACAAGUAUGAUGCAUAUAGAAUGGCUCGCCAUGAAAAAAAGCUGCAUAAAUGAAUUGCUAGGAUCAUGAAUGUUAAGUUGAUCAAUUAUACUGGAUAUAAAAGUUAAAGUAUCUUCAAAUGAUACUGUAUCAGACAAACCAAAGAAACGUGUGAGUAUAUUAGAAAAUGAAGGUAUUUAGUACAUUUUUAUAUAUUUAAUGAGAUUAACACUUCUAAUUAUAGUAUAAUUUAUACACUAACGCGUUAAUCAAAAAUAGACAAUUUGACGUAGUAGGAGAGUCAGCUUUUAAUCUAAAAUUCGAAAAAAUGAAUAUACUAAAUAGCUCAUCUCUGCCAAUAAUGCUUCUCUUGUUUAUUAUACUCUUUACUCACAGAUAAAUAUAGCGAAAUGGAGAGACUAGCUAGAAAUUACAAUAAAGGAUCACAUACAUUGUUACCUAAUUAUUAUUUUCUUAAAAUUUGAACAAAUACGUGUGUCAGCAUUAUGCUAAUCUUCUUUGUAUCGUUUCAAAAAAUUUCAAAUAUUCCCGGUAACAAAAAUUUGACCUUAAGAAACAAACAUGUACACAAAUAUUCGUUGCCAUCACAAACACAAAACCCAUAGAUCACAAACACGUUACAACUUGUUACCUUUUUGUUGUUGUUGUUCUUAAUGAUUUUGCUACUUGUUACUUUCCUCUUGACUUCUUUGAUGAUCUCGGGCUUUCAACUGUUUUUUGGGCAGCUUCGAAUUAUUUUCGUGUGGCUCUGAGUAGGCAUUAUAUUGUUACGAUACCUAGAGACAACAACGAUAACAUUGAAACAAACUUAUCUUUCCUCUCUCACUAUUCACAACAACUUUAAAAUAAAAUAAAAGAACAAUUGUGACAAUCUCGGUUUUAUUUCGAGUUUAUCUAUUAGUUCUGAAAUGAUUCAACUUUUCCAAGAACACACUGUAUAGAACUUUCCUGAGAAUUUCUUACGUGCCCAAAGUGCCAAUAGGGUCAACAUAUGGACAGGGUCGUACACGCG